RNAcentral lists this ribosomal RNA (464 nucleotides) under uncultured bacterium. RNAcentral's name for it is "partial 16S ribosomal RNA". It matches the Rfam family "Bacterial small subunit ribosomal RNA", at positions 339 to 795 of the family's 1533-position model. The record is from RNAcentral.
CUACGGGCGGCUGCAGUGGGGAAUAUUGGACAAUGGGGGAAACCCUGAUCCAGCAAUGCCGCGUGUGUGAAGAAGGCCUGCGGGUUGUAAAGCACUUUCGGUUGGGAGGACUGCUUCUAGCACUAAUAUUGUUGGAAGUUGACGUUACCUUCAGCAGAAGCACCGGCUAACUCCGUGCCAGCAGCCGCGGUAAUACGGAGGGUGCAAGCGUAAUCGGAAUUACUGGGCGUAAAGCGCGCGUAGGCGGCUAGAUCAGUCGGGUGUGAACGCCCCGGGCUUAACCUGGGAACUGCAUCCGAUACUGUCUAGCUUGAGUACAGGAGAGGAGAGUGGAAUUCCACAUGUAGCGGUGAAAUGCGUAGAUAUGUGGAGGAACACCAAUGUCGAAGGCAGCUCUCUGGCCUGAUACUGACGCUGAGGUGCGAAAGCGUGGGGAGCAAACAGGAUUAGAUACCCUAGUAGUC